AGGAGAGGCUGGUGGGAGCUGGGGGAGUGAGACUAGAACAAAGAAUACAUAGGAAAGAGAGCAAAUUCACAAAAAUGAGGAGAAAAUAGCAACAUUUAUACAUUCUGUAUCCAGGAAACUAAAUUCAGAGUCUGAAAGGAACAACUUUCUAUAUGUAGGAGCCAAAUACGUGCCAAUUCAAAACCAAAUGAAUGAGGAAAAUGAACAUUGACAAGGAGCUG
Molecule: unclassified non-coding RNA, 221 nt
Filed under: Hevea brasiliensis (rubber tree)
Lineage: Eukaryota; Viridiplantae; Streptophyta; Magnoliopsida; Malpighiales; Euphorbiaceae
Source: RNAcentral